ACACGUGGGUAACCUGCCUUAUAGUGGGGGAUAGCCUCUCGAAAGGAAGAUUAAUACCGCAUAAGAUUGUAGUAUCGCAUGAUAUAGCAAUUAAAGGAGCAAUUCGCUAUAAGAUGGACCCGCGUCGCAUUAGCUAGUUGGUGAGGUAAUGGCUCACCAAGGCGACGAUGCGUAGCCGACCUGAGAGGGUGAACGGCCACAUUGGGACUGAGACACGGCCCAGACUCCUACGGGAGGCAGCAUG
Molecule: ribosomal RNA, 244 nt
Filed under: uncultured bacterium
Lineage: Bacteria
Description: partial 16S ribosomal RNA
Rfam family: Bacterial small subunit ribosomal RNA
Source: RNAcentral